This 73-nucleotide transfer RNA is filed under the name Agrococcus jenensis. Its description in RNAcentral is "tRNA-Lys". It matches the Rfam family "tRNA". Rfam says of the family: Transfer RNA (tRNA) molecules are approximately 80 nucleotides in length. Their secondary structure includes four short double-helical elements and three loops (D, anti-codon, and T loops). The record is from RNAcentral. RNAcentral also lists the same sequence under 2 other names. Lineage: Bacteria; Bacillati; Actinomycetota; Actinomycetes; Micrococcales; Microbacteriaceae.
GCACCUCUAGCUCAAUUGGCAGAGCAGUUGACUCUUAAUCAAUCGGUUCCCGGUUCGAGUCCGGGGGGGUGUA